GGUGAACGCUGGCGGCGUGCCUAAUACAUGCAAGUCGAGCGAACGGACGAGAAGCUUGCUUCUCUGAUGUUAGCGGCGGACGGGUGAGUAACACGUGGAUAACCUACCUAUAAGACUGGGAUAACUUCGGGAAACCGGAGCUAAUACCGGAUAAUAUUAUGAACCGCAUGGUUCAAAAGUGAAAGACGGUCUUGCUGUCACUUAUAGAUGGAUCCGCGCUGCAUUAGCUAGUUGGUAAGGUAACGGCUUACCAAGGCAACGAUGCAUAGCCGACCUGAGAGGGUGAUCGGCCACACUGGAACUGAGACACGGUCCAGACUCCUACGGGAGGCAGCAGUAGGGAAUCUUCCGCAAUGGGCGAAAGCCUGACGGAGCAACGCCGCGUGAGUGAUGAAGGUCUUCGGAUCGUAAAACUCUGUUAUUAGGGAAGAACAUAUGUGUAAGUAACUGUGCACAUCUUGACGGUACCUAAUCAGAAAGCCACGGCUAACUACGUG
RNAcentral lists this ribosomal RNA (497 nucleotides) under uncultured bacterium. RNAcentral describes it as "partial 16S ribosomal RNA". It matches the Rfam family "Bacterial small subunit ribosomal RNA", at positions 28 to 507 of the family's 1533-position model. The record is from RNAcentral.